Non-coding RNA from Pangasius djambal, 72 nucleotides. The record is from the annotation of a GenBank genome assembly. Lineage: Eukaryota; Metazoa; Chordata; Actinopteri; Siluriformes; Pangasiidae.
UCCCUGGAGGACUAGUGGUUAGGCCUUGGUGCUCUCGCUGCCGUGGCCCGGGUUCGAUUCCCGGCCAGGGAA